GACGAACGCUGGCGGCGCGCUUAACACAUGCAAGUCGAACGGAAAGGCCUGCUUUCCCUUGUGGAUUGCGGGUACUCGAGUGGCGAACGGGUGAGUAACACGUGAGUGAUCUGCCCCCAACUUGGGUAUAAGCCUGGGAAACUGGGUCUAAUUCCCGAUAGGACUGCAGGGUGGUGCCUGUGGUGGAAAACGAUUUUCUAGUGGUUGGGGAUGAGCUCGCGGCCUAUCAGCUUGUUGGUGGGGUAAUGGCCUACCAAGGCGGCGACGGGUAGCCGGCCUGAGAGGGUGGACGGCCACAUUGGGACUGAGAUACGGCCCCGACUCCUACGGGAGGCAGCAGUGGGGAAUAUUACACAAUGGGCGGAAGCCUGAUGCAGCGACGCCGCGUGGGGGAUGACGGCCUUCGGGUUGUAAACUCCUUUCGACCGCGAGGAAGCCACCUGGUUGGAAGGGUGGUGACGGUAGUGGUAGAAGAAGCACCGGCUAACUACGUG
RNAcentral lists this ribosomal RNA (494 nucleotides) under uncultured bacterium. RNAcentral's name for it is "partial 16S ribosomal RNA". It matches the Rfam family "Bacterial small subunit ribosomal RNA", at positions 28 to 507 of the family's 1533-position model. The record is from RNAcentral.